RNAcentral lists this ribosomal RNA (262 nucleotides) under uncultured Staphylococcus sp. RNAcentral's name for it is "partial 16S ribosomal RNA". It matches the Rfam family "Bacterial small subunit ribosomal RNA", at positions 99 to 355 of the family's 1533-position model. Lineage: Bacteria; Bacillati; Bacillota; Bacilli; Caryophanales; Staphylococcaceae. The record is from RNAcentral.
CGGACGGGUGAGUAACACGUGGAUAACCUACCUAUAAGACUGGGAUAACUUCGGGAAACCGGAGCUAAUACCGGAUAAUAUAUUGAACCGCAUGGUUCAAUAGUGAAAGACGGUUUUGCUGUCACUUAUAGAUGGAUCCGCGCCGCAUUAGCUAGUUGGUAAGGUAACGGCUUACAAGGCAACGAUGCGUAGCCGACCUGAGAGGGUGAUCGGCCACACUGGAACUGAGACACGGUCCAGACUCCUACGGGAGGCAGCAGCU